GGAUGUGUGGCUCAAGUGGUAGAGUGACAGCCUUGAAAGAAAAAGGCAAGCAAGAGCAAAAGGUCCUGGGUUCAAGUCCCAGCAAACCCU
Molecule: transfer RNA, 90 nt
Filed under: Dipodomys ordii (Ord's kangaroo rat)
Lineage: Eukaryota; Metazoa; Chordata; Mammalia; Rodentia; Heteromyidae
Rfam family: tRNA
About the family: Transfer RNA (tRNA) molecules are approximately 80 nucleotides in length. Their secondary structure includes four short double-helical elements and three loops (D, anti-codon, and T loops).
Source: Rfam by way of RNAcentral